This 329-nucleotide unclassified non-coding RNA is filed under the name soil metagenome. RNAcentral's name for it is "partial contains 5.8S ribosomal RNA, internal transcribed spacer 2, and large subunit ribosomal RNA". The stretch from base 1 to 120 matches the Rfam family "5.8S ribosomal RNA", at positions 35 to 154 of the family's 154-position model. The record is from RNAcentral.
GAUGAAGAACGUAGUGAAAUGCGAUAAGUAAUGUGAAUUGCAGAAUUCAGUGAAUCAUCGAAUCUUUGAACGCACAUUGCGCCCCCUGGCAUUCCGGGGGGCAUGCCUGUUCGAGCGUCAUUACAACCCUCAAGCUCUGCUUGGUAUUGGGCUCUGCUGGGACCGGCAGGCCUUAAAAUCAGUGGCGGCACCACUCGGCUUCAAGCGUAGUAAUUCUUCUCGCUUCGGAGACCCGGGUGCGUGCUAGCCAGCAACCCCCAACUUUCUUAGGUUGACCUCGGAUCAGGUAGGGAUACCCGCUGAACUUAAGCAUAUCAAUAAGCGGAGGA